GUGUUGAAAAGGCCCUGGCUCUGGUUGAAGCUAAUCUAACUUCCUUAGGGCUCGGGACCACUAGGGUGUUGCUAUUUAUGAACCUUGAGGCUCUCCGUGAGGCAUACCGGGAGAGGCAGUCCCGUAGGUACGAGGGUCCUAGGCUGUGAAGGGCUUUAAAGGUCAAAACCAGCACCUUAAAUCUGACCCUGUACUCCACCGGGAGCCAGUGCAGAUGGAAAAACACUGGGUGAAUAUGCUCCCAUGGCAGAAACCCCGUGAGGAGCCUCGCUGCAGCAUUCUGCACCCGCUGGAGUUUCUGGGACAGCUUCAAGGGCAGCGUAGAGCGAAUUACAGUAGUCAAGCCUGGAGGUGACCCUUGCAUGGAUCACUGUGGCCAGGUUGGGGCGGGAAAGGUAAGGGGCCAACUGCUUGAUGCGGCGCCUUGGCUGUUGCUGUAACCUGCGCCUCCAUGGAAAGGGAGGCGUCAAGGAUUACACCCAAACUCUAAACGGAAGGCAAUGGCACUAAUUGGGUCCCCGCAAGAGAAGGGAGUUGGUCCCUCAUCCCCAUGCCAUCCCGACCCAGCCAUAGGAUCUCUGUCUUCGAAGGAUUUAGUUUCAAUCGGCUCCCAUGAAACCAUCCAGCCACAGCUUCCAAGCAUCUGGUCAGUGUGUCCGGGGCUGAGUCGGUGUGGCCAUCCAUCAGCAGAUAGAGCUGAGUGUCAUCAGCAUAUUGGUGACAGCCCAGCCCAAAGCUCCGGACGAUCUGGGCAAGGGGGCGCAUAAAGAUGUUAAAAAGCAUCGGGGAGAGGAUUGCGCCCUGCGGCACUCCACACACCAAGGAGUGGCGCGACAACAUCUCCCUCCCUAGUGCCACCCUCUGUCCCCGACCAGAGAUAAAAGAGCACAGCCAUUUACGGGCUAUGCCCUGUAUCCCCACAUCGGCGAGGUGGUGGUCCAGAAGAUCAUGAUCGACCAUGUCAAAGGCUGCUGACAAAUCUAAAAGGAUCAGCAGUCCUGACCCGCCUUGAUCCAGUUGUCUACGGAGAUCAUCUGUUAGGGCAACCAGAGCUGUCUCAGUCCCGAAACCAGGAUGGAACCCAGACUGAAAUGGAUCUAAAGCCAAUGUUUCCUCCGGAAACCUACCAAGCUGUUCAGCAACCGCUCUCUCAAUCACCCUUACCCAGAUAUGGAAGAUUUGAAACUGGGCGGCAAUUGGAUAGGUCUAAGGGAUCUAGUGAUGUUUUCUUUAAGAGCGGGCACACCACUGCUUCCUUCAUAGAAUCAUAGAGUCAUAGAGUUGGAAGAGACCACAAGGGCCAUUGAGUCCAACCCCCUGCCAAGCAGGAAACACCAUCAGAGCACUCCUGACAUAUGGUUGUCAAGCCUCUGCUUAAAGACCUCCAAAGAAGGAGACUCCACCACACUCCUUGGCAGCAAAUUCCACUGUCGAACAGCUCUUACUGUCAGGAAGUUCUUCCUAAUGUUUAGGUGGAAUCUUCUUUCUUGUAGUUUGGAUCCAUUGCUCCGUGUCCGCUUCUCUGGAGCAGCAGAAAACAACCUUUCUCCCUCCUCUAUGUGACAUCCUUUUAUAUAUUUGAACAUGGCUAUCAUAUCACCCCUUAACCUCCUCUUCUCCAGGCUAAACAUGCCCAGCUCCCUUAGCCGUUCCUCAUAAGGCAUCGUUUCCAGGCCUUUGACCAUUUUGGUUGCCCUCCUCUGGACACGUUCCAGUUUGUCAGUGUCCUUCUUGAACUGUGGUGCCUCUGAAACUCAGCCAGGCCUCUUGUCAUGUGCUCCCACUUUUCUGACUGAACCAGCACCCUCUCUCUGUGCUUCUUCAACCCUACGUCGCCGUUAAAAAAUAAUAUUACUAAUUACAAUUUGUACAGUAUCAUGUUAAUGACAAUUCAUGGUAUGGCAUAAUUGUGAAUACUGCUGGGCACAAGAUAUAGGUCAUACUAUUAUGUUGGAAGACUGGGAAAGGUUGUGGAAAACCGAUUUAAAAUUUACAGAUUGUUAUUUGCUGAAAGAAAAUUACAUGAAAAUGAUGUAUAGAUGGUAUAUAACACCAGUGCAGAUAGGAAGGAUGUAUAAAACUGCUUCAAAUAUAUGCUGGAAAUGCAAGGAAAAAGAAGGGCCUUUUUACCCUAUGUGGUGGGACUGUAGUAAGAUUAAAAAAAUUUGGGAAAUGAUAUACAACGAGCUGAAGAAAAUGUUCCAAUUAACAUUUGUAAAAAAAACUGAAGGAUUUUUGUUAGGGAUUGUAGGAAAAGACCUGCCAAGGAAAUUCAAAAAUAUAUUUAUGUAUGCGACAACGGCAAGAGUCUUAAUAGCACAAGGAUGGAAGAAUGAGGAAAUCCCGACUAAAGAAUUGUGGCAAGAGAAACUGAUGGACUAAGUGGAAUUGGCGAAAUUGACACACAAAUUACAUGAUAAGGACAACUGUGAUUUUAAAGAAGUAUGGGAACCUUUUACAAAGUACUUAAAGAAACAACAAAAUGAACUGGACUCCUUGGCAGGUUUUGAAUAAACAUACACAAAUUUUUUAUUGGUAACAUAUUGAUAGAUUAAUUAAGGAUUUUUACAACUUUAUAAUAUGCAGAGAAUAACAUUUGCUGAGAAACCAGAGAGGGGAGCUGAGGGAAGUCUGGGGGGGGGGGAGAGGGGGUUUUCUUUUUUGGGGGAGGGGGAGGGGGAAAUGGGGAAAUGAGGAUGAUGUAUUUUUUAUAAAAUGUUAUGUUGAAAUUCUUAAUAAAUUUUUUUUAAAAAAUUGUGAAUACUGCUAACGUAAUUUAACACCUAAUAAUUGAAAAGACACCUAAUAGUCACGGAAGGGAGGAGGUGGGGGAUUUGGAUUCAUAUAUGCUUUGUGGGAUAAUGGUGUUUUGUUUUGAAUAUAAAACUGUAAAAAAUAAUAAAAACUGUAAGAAAAGACACC
Molecule: long non-coding RNA, 2922 nt
Filed under: Podarcis lilfordi (Lilford's wall lizard)
Lineage: Eukaryota; Metazoa; Chordata; Lepidosauria; Squamata; Lacertidae
Source: RNAcentral